This 473-nucleotide ribosomal RNA is filed under the name Fusarium sp. F2 NMM-2014. RNAcentral's name for it is "eukaryotic LSU rRNA". The stretch from base 109 to 262 matches the Rfam family "5.8S ribosomal RNA". Lineage: Eukaryota; Fungi; Ascomycota; Sordariomycetes; Hypocreales; Nectriaceae. The record is from RNAcentral.
GUUGCCUCGGCGGAUCAGCCCGCGCCCCGUAAAACGGGACGGCCCGCCCGAGGACCCCUAAACUCUGUUUUUAGUGGAACUUCUGAGUAAAACAAACAAAUAAAUCAAAACUUUCAACAACGGAUCUCUUGGUUCUGGCAUCGAUGAAGAACGCAGCAAAAUGCGAUAAGUAAUGUGAAUUGCAGAAUUCAGUGAAUCAUCGAAUCUUUGAACGCACAUUGCGCCCGCCAGUAUUCUGGCGGGCAUGCCUGUUCGAGCGUCAUUUCAACCCUCAAGCUCAGCUUGGUGUUGGGACUCGCGGUAACCCGCGUUCCCCAAAUCGAUUGGCGGUCACGUCGAGCUUCCAUAGCGUAGUAAUCAUACACCUCGUUACUGGUAAUCGUCGCGGCCACGCCGUAAAACCCCAACUUCUGAAUGUUGACCUCGGAUCAGGUAGGAAUACCCGCUGAACUUAAGCAUAUCAAUAAGGCGGA